RNAcentral lists this ribosomal RNA (1372 nucleotides) under uncultured bacterium. RNAcentral's name for it is "bacterial SSU rRNA". It matches the Rfam family "Bacterial small subunit ribosomal RNA", at positions 28 to 1381 of the family's 1533-position model. The record is from RNAcentral.
GAUGAACGCUGGCGGCGUGCCUAAUACAUGCAAGUCGAGCGAACGGACGAGAAGCUUGCUUCUCUGAUGUUAGCGGCGGACGGGUGAGUAACACGUGGAUAACCUACCUAUAAGACUGGGAUAACUUCGGGAAACCGGAGCUAAUACCGGAUAAUAUUUUGAACCGCAUGGUUCAAAAGUGAAAGACGGUCUUGCUGUCACUUAUAGAUGGAUCCGCGCUGCAUUAGCUAGUUGGUAAGGUAACGGCUUACCAAGGCAACGAUGCAUAGCCGACCUGAGAGGGUGAUCGGCCACACUGGAACUGAGACACGGUCCAGACUCCUACGGGAGGCAGCAGUAGGGAAUCUUCCGCAAUGGGCGAAAGCCUGACGGAGCAACGCCGCGUGAGUGAUGAAGGUCUUCGGAUCGUAAAACUCUGUUAUUAGGGAAGAACAUAUGUGUAAGUAACUGUGCACAUCUUGACGGUACCUAAUCAGAAAGCCACGGCUAACUACGUGCCAGCAGCCGCGGUAAUACGUAGGUGGCAAGCGUUAUCCGGAAUUAUUGGGCGUAAAGCGCGCGUAGGCGGUUUUUUAAGUCUGAUGUGAAAGCCCACGGCUCAACCGUGGAGGGUCAUUGGAAACUGGAAAACUUGAGUGCAGAAGAGGAAAGUGGAAUUCCAUGUGUAGCGGUGAAAUGCGCAGAGAUAUGGAGGAACACCAGUGGCGAAGGCGGCUUUCUGGUCUGUAACUGACGCUGAUGUGCGAAAGCGUGGGGAUCAAACAGGAUUAGAUACCCUGGUAGUCCACGCCGUAAACGAUGAGUGCUAAGUGUUAGGGGGUUUCCGCCCCUUAGUGCUGCAGCUAACGCAUUAAGCACUCCGCCUGGGGAGUACGACCGCAAGGUUGAAACUCAAAGGAAUUGACGGGGACCCGCACAAGCGGUGGAGCAUGUGGUUUAAUUCGAAGCAACGCGAAGAACCUUACCAAAUCUUGACAUCCUUUGACAACUCUAGAGAUAGAGCCUUCCCCUUCGGGGGACAAAGUGACAGGUGGUGCAUGGUUGUCGUCAGCUCGUGUCGUGAGAUGUUGGGUUAAGUCCCGCAACGAGCGCAACCCUUAAGCUUAGUUGCCAUCAUUAAGUUGGGCACUCUAAGUUGACUGCCGGUGACAAACCGGAGGAAGGUGGGGAUGACGUCAAAUCAUCAUGCCCCUUAUGAUUUGGGCUACACACGUGCUACAAUGGACAAUACAAAGGGCAGCGAAACCGCGAGGUCAAGCAAAUCCCAUAAAGUUGUUCUCAGUUCGGAUUGUAGUCUGCAACUCGACUACAUGAAGCUGGAAUCGCUAGUAAUCGUAGAUCAGCAUGCUACGGUGAAUACGUUCCCGGGUCU